This 531-nucleotide long non-coding RNA is filed under the name Parus major (Great Tit). Its description in RNAcentral is "lncRNA (ENSPMJG00000009444.1)". Lineage: Eukaryota; Metazoa; Chordata; Aves; Passeriformes; Paridae. The record is from RNAcentral.
CUGUGGGGCUGCAUGAGAGGAGAAAGAGAAGAGUCUAAUGGGCUAUUCAGAGAAUUGAUCACUUGGAGAGAAGAGUUGUCAGAGGAGCUUUGCUUUGAAUUUUCUCAUGCUUUUCUGAAAGCAAGCUGCUAUUCUCAAGAAAUAUGGAAUGGUGUAAAAGAAUCUCAAUUGCCCAAUCAAGAUGAACAGAAUGGCUUUCUUCAACAAGAAAAUAGAACAUUCAUUUUUUAGGAUUAUAUCUACAACAUGAAGCAUUUAGCAGUAGCUGUCUUUGAGAACAUUCAUCUAUGACCUGAAAUGUCCUGAUCCUGAGAAAAAAAAGAGAUUCCAUUAAUUAAGUCUAUAAUUUUUAAAUGCAUAUUCAUGACUAAUUAUAUUUGCUUAUGUACAAUGCGGAUACAGAAUUCAUAAACCAGAGAUUAUUUUAACACAUGCACACAUUUUGUUUUACAUUUAGUGUACAAGAUACAAAAUUUUAAUCAAAUUUUAAAUAAUCUUUUAAAUUAUCUGUAUUUAUUAAUAAAUGAAGUC